GCUGUGAGCAGCUUGCAGCAUGGCAGCACAGUGGUAGCCUCUGAAAAUAGAAGGUCAACACAGUCUCCAUCAUACCCUGACUCCUCACACCCAUCUGUGAUUCAUGAGAAAUCUCUGGAAGCCACCGAGUUUAUAAGCCCUGAUAUCCUGGCACUGCCCUGUCUACAUACAAAACACCCUGAAUAAGUGGCACACAGAAGAGAGCAGACCCCUGUUCUCCUCUCACUACCUCCAUGACAGACUGUUCUCUUAGCUCUUUAUAAAUGCUCACCUGGUUUCUCACGGGUCAGAGAACUGCUUGCUGCCUGAAACUCAAUGGCUGCUCAGUACUGAAUACCAAAUGAAUAAACCUUUGCAAAACACCACUUUGAAUGUGGCAACCCCUGACCAGUAACAUUUUAGAAUUCCCCCAAUAUUUUCCCCCAAAGCUUCGAGGACAUCAAGCAAGUGGCAAAUUGUCAAGUGCUGCUCAGAGUAUGGAUGGCCUGACCACUGCCAGGAUGCUAAGUGCCUUCUACUGGUUUACAGCCAGGUGAUCUCAAGUUACAAAAGAAUCAGAGUCUACAAGUUAUGGCCACUUGGACAGGAGAAGCAAAGGAGGACCUUCAAGGUAACCAAAACUCCUUGCAGUUCCUGCCUAAAGAACAUCACUAACUUGGAACAGUCACCCUGAGGAGUCCUCUCUGUUGAACAAUCUGUGGUUUUCAUAUUGGGACAUUUACAUCAUACACCCC
This 734-nucleotide long non-coding RNA is filed under the name Mustela putorius furo (domestic ferret). RNAcentral's name for it is "lncRNA (ENSMPUG00000025381.1)". Lineage: Eukaryota; Metazoa; Chordata; Mammalia; Carnivora; Mustelidae. The record is from RNAcentral.